UUUGAAACACCAGUUCCCGUACGAUCAUCGAAGUUAAGCAACGUCGAGCCUGAUCAGUACCUAGAUGGGUGACCGCUUGGGAAUGCCAGGUACAGU
This 96-nucleotide ribosomal RNA is filed under the name Acanthosepion pharaonis. The record is from RNAcentral. Lineage: Eukaryota; Metazoa; Mollusca; Cephalopoda; Sepiida; Sepiidae.